RNAcentral lists this ribosomal RNA (497 nucleotides) under uncultured bacterium. RNAcentral's name for it is "partial 16S ribosomal RNA". It matches the Rfam family "Bacterial small subunit ribosomal RNA", at positions 899 to 1397 of the family's 1533-position model. The record is from RNAcentral.
ACUCAAAGGAAUUGACGGGGGCCCGCACAAGCGGUGGAGUAUGUGGUUUAAUUCGAUGCAACGCGAAGAACCUUACCUACCCUUGACAUCCUGUGAAUCUGCCAGAGAUGGUGGAGAGCCGAAAGGAGCACAGAGACAGGUGCUGCAUGGCUGUCGUCAGCUCGUGUCGUGAGAUGUUGGGUUAAGUCCCGUAACGAGCGCAACCCCCAUGCUUAAUUGCUAAUUCGAGAGGAUGCACUUUAAGCAAACUGCUUGUGAUAAGCGAGAGGAAGGUGGGGAUGAUGUCAAGUCAUCAUGGCCUUUAUGGGUAGGGCUACACACGUGCUACAAUGGUGGGGACAGAGGGAAGCAAACCUGGAAGGGGAAGCGAAUCUCACAAACCUCAUCCAAGUCCGGAUUGGAGUCUGCAACUCGACUCCAUGAAGACGGAAUCGCUAGUAAUCGCGGAUCAGCAAGCUGCGGUGAAUACGUUCUCGGGCCUUGUACACACCGCCCGU